Molecule: long non-coding RNA, 4372 nt
Filed under: Sus scrofa (pig)
Lineage: Eukaryota; Metazoa; Chordata; Mammalia; Artiodactyla; Suidae
Description: lncRNA (ENSSSCG00000055509.1)
Source: RNAcentral
AUGGGCCUGGAACAGAUCCUUAAUUCUGCCACAGGCAGCUGGGUGGCUCUUUGCAUCUCAGUUUUGCAUCAGUAAAGUGGGAAUGUGAACACCAACCUGACACAGGCUGGGAUGUUUGUUCACCUGUUCACUGCUAUAUCUCAGCACCUAGGAUACAGAGGCAUGUAGUAGGUGCACCAUGAGUAUUUCUCAAUGAAAGAACAUAUCAAUUCAGUGUCGCUAUGCACCUAUCCAUAUGCUUUGUACUGGAUUAUGUGGCUAAUGGUUAUGAAGUGCCCAGCAUCACAGAGGCUCAGUGAAUGCGAGUCCUCUCUUUGUUCACAAGACCGUGAGUUCCUUGGGGGCCAGAGCUCUGAUAAGUGGGCUCUGGGGCCUCUGAACUGAGUGUGGGAUCAAGUACCAAGCUGGCAAUAAUCAGAGAGAGGGCCUUAAGCAGCUAGACUCAGGGUCUUGGCUUCGGCCUGGGGAAGGAGUGACCUGAUGCAGCCCAGAGGGGAGGGUGGCUGGGAAGGUCUGAGGCUGAAGGUGGGAGGGGUAAGGAGGGGCUCUGACGCAUAGAACUGCCACUUUCCCAGCUGUGUGACCUUGGACAAGUCACUAACCUCUCUGAGUCUUGGCGGCCUCAUCUGUGACAUGCAUAUUAUGACACUUGUUGGGCGUUCCCGUCAUAGAGCAGUGGAAACAAAUCCAACUAGGAACCAUGAGGUUGUGGGUUCGAUCCCUGGCCUCGCUCAGUGGGUUAAGGAUCUGGCGUUGCCAUGAGCUGUGGUUGUAGGUCGCAGACAUGGCUCAGAUCCUGAGUUGCUGUGGCUGUGGUAUAAGCUGGCAGCAACAGCUCUGAUUCAGCCCCUAGCCUGGGAACCUCCAUAUGUCACAGGUUCGGCCCUAAAAAAGACAAAAACAAAAACAAAAACAAAACCCACUUGUCCCACACUGUAAUUGUUGGUUUCCUCCCAGCACUGGGCUCAUUCUGGGGGGGACUAAGUAAAGCGUUUCUCUUUUUGGCUCCUUUCUCUUACGUUUAACUUCUCACCCCUGUGGAAUUAGAAUCCAGAAGUUGGGAGCCCCUGAUUCCCCAGCAGGCUGGCCAGGGCCCAGGGAUAAGGGCUGGGUUCUGCCCAGUGUGGAAGUAGCUCAAUGGAGGUCCCAGCUCCGCCGUUUUUUGCUGUGUGACUUGGUUCACGAACCCACCUUCUCUGGGCCUUGGUAGCUUCCUCUGUAAAAUGGUGUUAAUAGGAGUUCCCUAGAGGCUCAGCAGGUUAAGGAUGCAACAUUGUCAUUGCUGUGGCUCUAUUUACUGCUGUGGUACAGAUUUGAUCCCUGGCCCAGGAACCUCUGCAUACCAUGAGCGCAGCCAAAAAAAAGGUGGGGGGGGAGUUAAUAAAUAAAUCCCUCCCCAGAAGGAUAUUCAAAGGGCAAACAGGUGGGCAAGGCAUCAUCAUCAUCAUCCCUCUUAGUGCCUAGAGAAUGGCAUCCUGCCUUGGCCUGGGGAGCCUGAGAAGCUCUAGUCUCUCUAUGGACUGUUGUCAUUUAUUGGAUGUUUCUUAUAUACUGGGCUGGUUGUUAUGUGCUAUUUCAGACACAUUAUCUCAUCUAGUCCUCCCAGUGACCCUGUGAGGUAGGCAGUAUGGUCUCUACUUUUAUGCAUGAAGGAACUGGUGCUGAGUAAAUCAAGUGAGUUACCCAGAGUCACAUAGUUAUUUAGGGCCUCAAUUCUUUUUUUUUUUUUUUUUUUUUAUUUUCCCACUGUACAGCAAGGGGGUCAGGUUAUCCUUACAUGUAUACAUUACAAUUACAUUUUUUCCCCCACCCUUUGUUCUGUUGCAACAUGAGUAUCUAGACAUAGUUCUCAAUGCUAUUCAGCAGGAUCUCCUUGUAAAUCUAUUCUAAGUUGUGUCUGAUAAGCCCAAGCUCCCAAUCCCUCCCACUCCCUCCCCCUCCCAUCAGGCAGCCACGAGUCUCUUCUCCAAGUCCAUGAUUUUCUUUUUUGAGGAGAUGUUCAUUUGUGCUGGAUAUUAGAUUUCAGUUCUAAGUGAUAUCAUAUGGUAUUUGUCUUUGUCUUUCUGGCUCAUUUCACUCAGUAUGAGAUUCUCUAGUUCCAUCCAUGUUGCUGCAAAUGGCAUUAUGUCAUUCUUUUUUAUGGCUGAGUAGUAUUCCAUUGUGUAUAUAUACCACAUCUUCCUAAUCCAAUCGUCUGUCGAUGGACAUUUGGGUUGUUUCCAUGUCUUGGCUAUUGUGAAUAGUGCUGCAAUGAACAUGCGGGUGCACGUGUCUCUUUUAAGUAGAGUUUUGUCCGGAUAGAUGCCCAAGAGUGGGAUUGCGGGAUCAUAUGGAAGUUCUAUGUAUAGAUUUCUAAGGUAUCUCCAAACUGUUCUCCAUAGUGGCUGUACCAGUUUACAUUCCCACCAACAGUGCAGGAGGGUUCCCUUUUCUCCACAGCCCCUCCAGCACUUGUUAUUUGUGGAUUUAUUAAUGAUGGCCAUUCUGACUGGUGUAACAUAGCCUCAAUUCUUAAUGUGAAAUUCUCUUACCUCCCCCAAGGAGGCAAUGACUGGAUCUGAGUCUUCUCUGUCCAUCUCCAACCCCGGCAUAGGACUGGUGGGAGCCGCUGGACUGUUCGCUGAAUACACUACUACUACCACACACACACACACACACACACACACACACACUGUACCCCUUCCCAACCUGGUGCUCUCAGAGUUUUGAAGAAAGGAGAGCACAGAAAGCAGGAGAAGGCCCAACAGUGUAGCUGCUGAGAGUCAGACAGAGCUGGCCUGAAUCCUGCAUCUAUCGCUUGCCAGUUGUGUGACCUUGGGCAAGACAUUCCCCCUUUUAGAGCCUUAAUUUCCUUAUCUGUAAAAUGGGGAUUAAAAAAAGAUCUUAUGAGGAUUAAAUAAUGCAUGUAAGGUACAUGGUGAAUUCUCAAUGAUAGUAAUUAUUGCUAUUAUUGUAGUUAUAGUUGUGAGUAUUAUUUGGGGAUUAGAAAGAUAUCCCUCUUGAGACAGUGGAGACCAGGUCUGGGAGGAACCCCCUGGGGACAGGCAGGAAGUAACUAAUCUAACAGGUUCUGAAAGGCACCUGCAAGUAGGGCGAAGGGAGGGAGGAGGGCUCUCGAAAGUAAGAAAGAACCUCCUUUUCCUAGCCAUCUGCUUCCACCCAUACCCACUCCGAGCCAGGCGCUGUGCUGGGCAUGAUACAGAGAUUAGUCUGUAUCACCUCUUUCCCCACUACCUCCUCCCCCUGGAGCUCAGAGUCUGGUUGAGGAGAAGGACACAGAAACUGCCAACUCCAUCUUUGAUCGAUGCACUAAAGUGUGAACUGUGAAUAUCUCCUCAGGCAAAAAGCAGGAGAAAGGGCAUUCCUAGUGGAGGAGCUGCUUUGCCAACUUCCAGAGCCAUGAGCUGCACUUGGGGGAUGUGGUUAUAGAGACAGGCCCAGGGGAGUUAGGGGGCUUGACCCAGAGGCCAUGGGGGACCAUCGAAUAUAAAGCAGGGGGAUGGCGUGGUCAGACUUGUAUUUCAGGAGGGUCACUUGGGGUGGAGGACAGAAAGGAGGGGAGGGGCAGGGGUGACUCUCUAGGUGAGAGAUGCCAAGAUAUGGGGCCUGGGACUGGGCCAUGGGAUGCAGAGCAGGGGUGGCUGUGAGCUCUGUCCAGGAAAGAGAGCCAGCAGGGUGUGGUAAGGGCCUGCAGUGGGCAGGCAGGUGAGUGAGGUCUUGGGUCUGGGGUGACGGGGCCUGCCAGGGUCUCUGGCCGAGGGACACAGCUGGGUUGGGGGGUAAAAGCCAUUGUCUGCUCCUUGUCACCUUCCACCUCAGACAGCAGCUAUGUCUGAGCUGGCCACCAGGGCCAAUGCCCCCUACUCCUCCCUUGGGGGUCCCUUGUGGUGACCCUGGCUGGUCUGGCAAGGGUGAGAGCUCUUUAGGGUGGGGGCUGGGCAGGGGCUGUGAGAUGCAGAGGAGCCCUGGGUUCUAGCCCUACCAGUGUCACUGCAUGUCUCUGUGACCCCUAGAAGUCACUCCCUCUCUUGCCCUGUUGUCCUCGCCUUGAGAGUGAGCAUGAGAGAACUUGUUUUGUCUGCCUCAAAGAUUCAAUGAUAAAAUACAACGUCUAAAAAAAUAAAUAAAUAAAAAGGAAUUCCUGUCGUGGCGCAGCAGUUAAUGAAUCCGACUAGGAACCAUGAGGUUGCGGGUUCGGUCCCUGGCCUUGCUCAGUGGGUUAAGGAUCCAGCAUUGCCCUGAGCUGUGGUGUAGGUUGCAGACACGGCUCAGAUCCAGCGUUGCUGUGGCUCUGGUGUAGGCCGGUGGCUACAGCUCCGAUUGGACCCCUAGCCUGGGAACCUCCAUAUGCUGCGGGAGCGGCCCAAGAAAU